ACGCUGGCGGCGUGCCUAAUACAUGCAAGUCGAACGCACAGCGAAAGGUGCUUGCACCUUUCAAGUGAGUGGCGAACGGGUGAGUAACACGUGGACAACCUGCCUCAAGGCUGGGGAUAACAUUUGGAAACAGAUGCUAAUACCGAAUAAAACUUAGUGUCGCAUGACACAAAGUUAAAAGGCGCUUCGGCGUCACCUAGAGAUGGAUCCGCGGUGCAUUAGUUAGUUGGUGGGGUAAAGGCCUACCAAGACAAUGAUGCAUAGCCGAGUUGAGAGACUGAUCGGCCACAUUGGGACUGAGACACGGCCCAAACUCCUACGGGAGGCUGCAGUAGGGAAUCUUCCACAAUGGGCGAAAGCCUGAUGGAGCAACGCCGCGUGUGUGAUGAAGGCUUUCGGGUCGUAAAGCACUGUUGUAUGGGAAGAACAGCUAGAAUAGGAAAUGAUUUUAGUUUGACGGUACCAUACCAGAAAGGGACGGCUAAAUACGUGCCAGCAGCCGCGGUAAUACGUAUGUCCCGAGCGUUAUCCGGAUUUAUUGGGCGUAAAGCGAGCGCAGACGGUUUAUUAAGUCUGAUGUGAAAGCCCGGAGCUCAACUCCGGAAUGGCAUUGGAAACUGGUUAACUUGAGUGCAGUAGAGGUAAGUGGAACUCCAUGUGUAGCGGUGGAAUGCGUAGAUAUAUGGAAGAACACCAGUGGCGAAGGCGGCUUACUGGACUGCAACUGACGUUGAGGCUCGAAAGUGUGGGUAGCAAACAGGAUUAGAUACCCUGGUAGUCCACACCGUAAACGAUGAACACUAGGUGUUAGGAGGUUUCCGCCUCUUAGUGCCGAAGCUAACGCAUUAAGUGUUCCGCCUGGGGAGUACGACCGCAAGGUUGAAACUCAAAGGAAUUGACGGGGACCCGCACAAGCGGUGGAGCAUGUGGUUUAAUUCGAAGCAACGCGAAGAACCUUACCAGGUCUUGACAUCCUUUGAAGCUUUUAGAGAUAGAAGUGUUCUCUUCGGAGACAAAGUGACAGGUGGUGCAUGGUCGUCGUCAGCUCGUGUCGUGAGAUGUUGGGUUAAGUCCCGCAACGAGCGCAACCCUUAUUGUUAGUUGCCAGCAUUCAGAUGGGCACUCUAGCGAGACUGCCGGUGACAAACCGGAGGAAGGCGGGGACGACGUCAGAUCAUCAUGCCCCUUAUGACCUGGGCUACACACGUGCUACAAUGGCGUAUACAACGAGUUGCCAACCCGCGAGGGUGAGCUAAUCUCUUAAAGUACGUCUCAGUUCGGAUUGUAGUCUGCAACUCGACUACAUGAAGUCGGAAUCGCUAGUAAUCGCGGAUCAGCACGCCGCGGUGAAUACGUUCCCGGGUCUUGUACACACCGCCCGUCACACCAUGGGAGUUUGUAAUGCCCAAAGCCGGUGGCCUAACCUUUUAGGAAGGAGCCGUCUAAGGCAGGACAGAUGACUGGGG
Molecule: ribosomal RNA, 1466 nt
Filed under: Leuconostoc mesenteroides
Lineage: Bacteria; Bacillati; Bacillota; Bacilli; Lactobacillales; Lactobacillaceae
Also listed under: 1 other name
Description: bacterial SSU rRNA
Rfam family: Bacterial small subunit ribosomal RNA
Source: RNAcentral